AAACUUAACUGAUAUUGAUACAUUUAUAACCUUAUGAGUAGUAGUAGCACCAAAAACAACACCCCACAUAAAGUUCGAUUAUAAAUAUAACCAAAUUUUGUUUUUUAGGAUCGUAAGCCAAUUUUUUUUUUAGAAUAGAGCCUCUGAUUUUUACUCUGCUUUGGGUGCAUGAUGAUUACAUGAUUGAUCUUGCCACACUGCAACAAGGUUUAUACAUACAUCUGAUCCAGCUAACGUUAGAUUUUGAAAACUAUUUUAAGUUGAAGAGGAAGAAAUUCUCUCAAGGUUUAUGCAAAUCAACAACACACAUUCAAAACACUUGAGAGAGAAACAACUAAACUUCAUAAUUGUUGGGAAAGGCUUGGUUCAUUUAGGUGCUCUGGAAACAUCCUGAGAUUCAAGAAAAUGUUGAGAUAGAAACAAUGUUACAAAUGUUGAAGGAUCUGUAAGCAGCAGUGGACAAAGCCUUAUAAAGAUGCAUCGAUCCUACAGUUCAAGUGGUACUUGGUGACGUGAACUUAGUCAAUGCGGGAGAAUUUCGGUGAAUAUGCUCCAAAUAAGCACGUGCAUGUUGAAGGGUAGCCGUCGUGUGGGACUUGCACAUUUUUUCGUAUUGUUAGUUGGCUAGGAUAAUUCUAAAUUUAUAAGGGAAUAUUUGAGCUUGAUAGAGAUAAUAUACACACACAACACUCUCUGCUCGCAAACACUCUGCUAUAGCAACACUGAAACUACUCUCAAACCCGUACACUAGAAUUCACUUGGAACAAGCUCAAUAUCAUCCGAAGUUGUAUCAAAUUGUUUGUUGUUUCUUGAAUAUAGUUGGUGAUCGGUAGUUUCCA
Molecule: long non-coding RNA, 839 nt
Organism: Helianthus annuus (common sunflower)
Lineage: Eukaryota; Viridiplantae; Streptophyta; Magnoliopsida; Asterales; Asteraceae
Exons: 3
Source: RefSeq, a predicted model, not a curated record